UACUCCGCCGGCGACCGGCGCACGGUGCGUAACGCGUAUGCAACCUACCUUUAACAGGGGCAUAACACUGAGAAAUUGGUACUAAUUCCCCAUAACAUUCGAGAAGGCAUCUUCUUGGGUUAAAAACUCCGGUGGUUAAAGAUGGGCAUGCGUUGUAUUAGCUAGUUGGUGAGGUAACGGCUCACCAAGGCAACGAUACAUAGGGGGACUGAGAGGUUAACCCCCCACAUUGGUACUGAGACACGGACCAA
RNAcentral lists this ribosomal RNA (251 nucleotides) under uncultured bacterium. RNAcentral describes it as "partial 16S ribosomal RNA". It matches the Rfam family "Bacterial small subunit ribosomal RNA", at positions 81 to 334 of the family's 1533-position model. The record is from RNAcentral.